UUAUGAUCGUUUAAAGUCGACCCAAAAAUCUGUUUGGCUGCAGUACUUUUGUGUGCAGAAAAUUUCUGCACAUUUACUGUUCAUUGCGUCCACCGUUUUCAAGUUUCGAACAUGAUCGCUUAUAUCCGAUACUCAUUUGUUUUCAGAAAUCUUUAUAUCGUUGGAAAGCUAACUCGAUAAAUUUCGUAUAGAAACUUCGACGAGCAAAUUCCGGUAUAAAUAAAGUCGAUUCCUAUACACAUAUAAUCAAACUAUACACUUGAAACCAUCUCAAAAUAAUCAAUACUCAUACUUAAACUCAUAUAUACCUAACUUAUGAUCAAUACAUAUACUCCAACACAUAUAACCAUGGCUAGUGCACAUAAUUAAGUACGGGGUGUU
This 381-nucleotide long non-coding RNA is filed under the name Capsicum annuum. Its description in RNAcentral is "long non-coding RNA (CANN_LNC006159)". The record is from RNAcentral. Lineage: Eukaryota; Viridiplantae; Streptophyta; Magnoliopsida; Solanales; Solanaceae.